Molecule: non-coding RNA, 47 nt
Organism: Danio rerio (zebrafish)
Lineage: Eukaryota; Metazoa; Chordata; Actinopteri; Cypriniformes; Danionidae
Source: Rfam
CCAAAGGCUCUUUUCAGAGCCACUCAAUUUACACAAAACGAGAGAAU